CGACCGGCGCACGGGUGAGUAACACGUAUCCAACCUGCCGUCUACUCUUGGACAGCCUUCUGAAAGGAAGAUUAAUACAAGAUGGCAUCAUGAGUCCGCAUGUUCACAUGAUUAAAGGUAUUCCGGUAGACGAUGGGGAUGCGUUCCAUUAGAUAGUAGGCGGGGUAACGGCCCACCUAGUCUUCGAUGGAUAGGGGUUCUGAGAGGAAGGUCCCCCACAUUGGAACUGAGACACGGUCCAAACUCCUACGGGAGGCAGCAUG
RNAcentral lists this ribosomal RNA (263 nucleotides) under uncultured bacterium. Its description in RNAcentral is "partial 16S ribosomal RNA". It matches the Rfam family "Bacterial small subunit ribosomal RNA", at positions 92 to 353 of the family's 1533-position model. The record is from RNAcentral.